This 499-nucleotide ribosomal RNA is filed under the name uncultured bacterium. RNAcentral's name for it is "partial 16S ribosomal RNA". It matches the Rfam family "Bacterial small subunit ribosomal RNA", at positions 28 to 507 of the family's 1533-position model. The record is from RNAcentral.
GAUGAACGCUGGCGGCGUGCCUAAUACAUGCAAGUCGAGCGAACAGACGAGAGUGCUUGCACUCUCUGACGUUAGCGGCGGACGGGUGAGUAACACGUGGGUAACCUACCUAUAAGACUGGGAUAACUUCGGGAAACCGGAGCUAAUACCGGAUAAUAUUUAGCUUCGCAUGAAGCAAUAGUGAAAGACGGUUCUGCUGUCACUUAUAGAUGGACCCGCGGUGUAUUAGCUAGUUGGUGAGGUAACGGCUCACCAAGGCAACGAUAUAUAGCCGACCUGAGAGGGUGAUCGGCCACACUGGGACUGAGACACGGACCAGACUCCUACGGGAGGCAGCAGUAGGGAAUCUUCCGCAAUGGACGAAAGUCUGACGGAGCAAUGCCGCGUGAGUGAAGAAGGUUUUCGGAUCGUAAAACUCUGUUGUAAGGGAAGAACAAGUACGUUAGUAACUGAACGUACCUUGACGGUACCUUACCAGAAAGCCACGGCUAACUACGUG